GUUGACCUCGAAUCAGGUAGGACUACCCGCUGAACUUAAGCAUAUA
This 46-nucleotide ribosomal RNA is filed under the name Beauveria bassiana. RNAcentral describes it as "partial 28S ribosomal RNA". The record is from RNAcentral. Lineage: Eukaryota; Fungi; Ascomycota; Sordariomycetes; Hypocreales; Cordycipitaceae.